Molecule: long non-coding RNA, 269 nt
Filed under: Bos taurus (domestic cattle)
Lineage: Eukaryota; Metazoa; Chordata; Mammalia; Artiodactyla; Bovidae
Description: long non-coding RNA NONBTAT006775
Source: RNAcentral
AGGACAGGGUGUAGUAUUAAGACUUACAGCCCAGAAAUUCAUUACACACUCCUUGUAAUAUCACCAAUCUGAAACUCAGUUCAUUAAAGAACACACUCCCCAAACAGGAAAUACCCACACUCCCAAUUUAAAAAUAUUUACUCUUCUAAUUGAAAUAUUUACCUAACCUGGAAAACAGUGUGACCACUUUAAAUUAGCCAUAUCUAUUCUUUACUGAACAUCAAUAGGGACACAGAAUUUUUUUUAAACUAGAUGAAAGCAAAACCACA